AACGAACGCUGGCGGCGUGUUUAAGACAUGCAAGUCGCACGGGAUAAGACAUGUAGUAAUACUUGUUUUAUUUAGUGGCGCACGGGUGAGUAACACGUGAAUUACAUGCCCUAUAGUGGGGAAUAGCCCAGGGAAACUUGGAUUAAUACCCCAUGGUAUCGAAAGAUUAAAGGUGGCCGCAAGGCUGUCGCUAUAGGAUUUGUUCGCGCCCUAUCAGCUUGUUGGUGAGGUAACGGCUCACCAAGGCAAUGACGGGUACCUGGUCUGAGAGGACGAUCAGGCACACUGGAACUGAGACACGGUCCAGACACCUACGGGUGGCAGCAGUCGAGAAUAAUUCACAAUGGGGGCAACCCUGAUGGUGCAACGCCGCGUGGAGGAUGACGGUCUUCGGAUUGUAAACUCCUGUCAUCUGGGAGAAAGACCUGACGGUAAAUAGCCGGCAGGGUUGAUAGUACCUGAAGAGGAAGGGACGGCUAACUUCGUGCCAGCAGCCGCCGUAA
Molecule: ribosomal RNA, 503 nt
Filed under: uncultured bacterium
Lineage: Bacteria
Description: partial 16S ribosomal RNA
Rfam family: Bacterial small subunit ribosomal RNA
Source: RNAcentral